CUCUUAGAUGUUCUGGGCUGCACGCGUGCUACACUGAUAUUGCCAAUAUGUCAUUCUUAUCCGAAAUGGAUUGGGUAAUCAAGUAAUGAAAUUUCAUGCUUGGAAUCGGUAAUUGCAAUUUUAUCGUGAACGAGGAAUUCCUAGUAAGCACUAGUCAUCAGCUAAUGUUGAUUAUGUCCCUGCCCUUUGUACACACCGCCCGUCGCUACUACUGAUUGGGUGUUCAAGUGAGAUGCUUAGACCCUUGUUGCAUGGUUCAUUAUUGUGCUCCGAAAGGAAAAAGUUUCAAGCUUGAGUGUCUAGAGGAAGUAAAAGUCGUAACA
RNAcentral lists this ribosomal RNA (323 nucleotides) under uncultured eukaryote. Its description in RNAcentral is "partial 18S ribosomal RNA". It matches the Rfam family "Eukaryotic small subunit ribosomal RNA", at positions 1470 to 1796 of the family's 1831-position model. The record is from RNAcentral.